Non-coding RNA from Cyanistes caeruleus (blue tit), 1952 nucleotides. The record is from RefSeq and is a predicted model, not a curated record. Lineage: Eukaryota; Metazoa; Chordata; Aves; Passeriformes; Paridae.
CCCUCCUCCUCGUGUGGGAAGUGCUGGGGGUUUUCACUCUCUGCCGCAGGAAAAUGAGAAGUUAAAAGUCAUGGGAAGAUAAGUAAUUUAUGCUUUUUAUCUUUACUAGAGAGACAGACCAAGCUACAGCCAGGGAGCUGAGUGUUACCCUCUGAUGUGAGCACCACGUCACUGACUCCUCAUUGUGAGGGACAAUCUGUGAUCAACAUGCUAAAAACGAGUCAUUUAGGGAUUUCUCUUGAGGAGUGUCCUGUGUUGCCUUGAGUCUUACACUGAGAUAUUUGCUUCUCCAGGAAAAACUGUGAUUUGAUGUGUCAGAAGCUCUUGACCAGCACGUUAAGCAGGACCUGGGGGCUUCCUAAAUUGCAGUGGGGAAACUGAAGACCACAGUAAGACAGUUGCAACGACUUCAGCAAAACUUGUCACUGUCCCUAGAAAUGUGAUGGCAGAGAGGUUUUCUUGCUUUGAAUCCUGUUCCUCAGGAGCAGGAGGAUGAGGCAGCCCAGUGCCAGCAGCGUGCCCCUCAUGCUGCCAGCGUGGUGCUUUCCCAGCUGGGCAGAAGGGAUCCAGUGGGGAAUUCUGCUGGAGCCUUCCCAUUUAUACCGACGGUCUGUCCACUCCACUGAGUACCAGCUCGCUCUGAGUGCGGUGAUGUUUGCUGAAAACAAAUAAACUGCUUGUUCCUGGUCAUGUUUGAAGUGCUUUGGGAUCUCAGUCAGGUUAAAUUAAAGAUUUCUGAAGUCUAUGGAGCUGCUUUACUGGAAACAGCUGAGGUGUGACAGGUUUAUGGGGUAUGGAUUAGGUGGAUGCUGUUAAUGUGUGUUCUGCCAGGAAAAAAGGGUGUUUGUGACAUGGAUUCUACUUAAUGUGUUUGGUGUCUGUGUCCCCCACACACCUGAUGCCCAGUCCUGAUGGGGGUCAUCUUCUGUUGGUGACCCCAAAGAAAAGUGGAAUGAACUCCUUCCCAUGCUCCUCUCCACUCCCCCAGCUUGUUUACAGCUAAACUGUGGAUGCUUGUGGGAAAAAACCUGGCAGGGCCAAGCACUGCUGAGAAAAUCCACCCUAGAGGGGGUUUGUGGCAUGUAUUGGUAUCCCAGCCAGGAUUCUCUGCUCUGGGAGCAGAAGUUCAUUGGUUCCUAAUGUUGGCUUCAGUGUAAUUUAGGUUUCUAUAAAAAAAUCCUUGCACUAAAAUGCCUCUAGAAGGGAAUUUCUCAAUUAUAUGGUCAGAAAUUCCAUGUUUAAGGACAAAAUACACGAGGAACUUGGGAGAUAUUGAGCCCUUCCUAGCACCACAAGGAUUUUCCAGCACCAUAAUGUUACAGGUAAUUAAUUUUCACUGUGUGCAGGGUGGGUUAUAGAAAGCUUGUUUUUUAGCAGUAAGCAAACAGUCAUGGGCAUGGAUGGAAAAUAUAGGGUGUAUUUUGGUCAGAUUUAUAAUAAUGAUUAACAAAUGAUUCACCUUAACGAGUGUCUUUUCUUUGAAACGCACCAAGAUGAAUUUUAUGUCAGGGGGAAGUUUGCAUGUCCCCUGUCAGAUGUGCAGCACACAGAGGGAAGUGGAUGUUAAUGCAGCACAAAUGAUCCUUAAUUCAGUGAUGUGUUUGAGUGCUGGGUGUUUAUUGUCAGGAUAAUGAGAGAGGUUGGAUGUUCUGGAUCUAUAAAAUACACCUUUCCAUAUGUAAUGUGCUCAGCAGCAGGGCUACAACUUGUGCUCAUUCACCCCUCUGGAGAUGCUCCCCAUUUCCUGUGGGCAGGAAGUGCCUGGAAAUCCUCCAGCUGUGUAAUUUUUUUCUGUUUCUUCUUCUCUGCCCCCCAAAAAACCCACUCUAGGCAGCCAAACACUGCCUGCUUUCAACCCAAGGACAAAAGAGCUUGGGAGGAAAAGCAGGAAGGGAUAAAGGCCCCAGGAGAAAAGACUAUGGAGACCUUUCCAUGAUCAGGAUUCCAGAGAA